This 247-nucleotide ribosomal RNA is filed under the name uncultured archaeon. Its description in RNAcentral is "partial 16S ribosomal RNA". It matches the Rfam family "Archaeal small subunit ribosomal RNA", at positions 691 to 938 of the family's 1478-position model. The record is from RNAcentral.
CCGACGGUGAGAGGCGAAAGCUGGGGGCACGAACCGGAUUAGAUACCCGGGUAGUCCCAGCCGUAAACGAUGCUCGCUAGGUGUCUGGGAUGGUGCGACCGUUUCAGGUGCCGCAGGGAAGCCGUGAAGCGAGCCACCUGGGAAGUACGGCCGCAAGGCUGAAACUUAAAGGAAUUGGCGGGGGAGCACUACAACGGGUGGAGCCUGCGGUUUAAUGGACUCAACGCCGGAAAACUCACCUGGGGCG